Molecule: unclassified non-coding RNA, 21 nt
Filed under: Chlamydomonas reinhardtii
Lineage: Eukaryota; Viridiplantae; Chlorophyta; Chlorophyceae; Chlamydomonadales; Chlamydomonadaceae
Description: small RNA Cre_2802
Source: RNAcentral
UCUGGUGGAUCAGCGUCCGUG